RNAcentral lists this ribosomal RNA (2485 nucleotides) under Enterococcus sp. 5B3_DIV0040. RNAcentral's name for it is "bacterial LSU rRNA". It matches the Rfam family "Bacterial large subunit ribosomal RNA", at positions 1 to 2498 of the family's 2925-position model. Lineage: Bacteria; Bacillati; Bacillota; Bacilli; Lactobacillales; Enterococcaceae. The record is from RNAcentral.
UUAAGUGAAUAAGGGCGCACGGUGGAUGCCUUGGCACUAGGAGCCGAUGAAGGACGGGACUAACACCGAUAUGCUUUGGGGAGCUGUAAGUAAGCUAUGAUCCAGAGAUUUCCGAAUGGGGGAACCCAGCAUCUUUUAUAGGAUGUUACGUCUGCGUGAAUACAUAGCGCAGUCGAGGUAGACGCAGAGAACUGAAACAUCUAAGUACCUGCAGGAAGAGAAAGAAAAUUCGAUUCCCUGAGUAGCGGCGAGCGAAACGGGAAAAGCCCAAACCAACAAGCUUGCUUGUUGGGGUUGUAGGACUCCGAUAUGGUAGUCUAUUCAGAUAGUCGAAAUACUUGGAAAAGUAUGUCAAAGAGGGUAAAAACCCCGUAGGCGAAAUUUGGAUAACACCUAGGAGGAUCCUGAGUACGGCGGAACACGAGGAAUUCCGUCGGAAUCCGGGAGGACCAUCUCCCAAGGCUAAAUACUCCCUAGUGACCGAUAGUGAACCAGUACCGUGAGGGAAAGGUGAAAAGCACCCCGGAAGGGGAGUGAAAUAGAUCCUGAAACCGUGUGCCUACAACAAGUUAGAGCCCGUUAAUGGGUGAUAGCGUGCCUUUUGUAGAAUGAACCGGCGAGUUACGAUAGCAUGCGAGGUUAAGUUGAAGAGACGGAGCCGUAGCGAAAGCGAGUCUGAAUAGGGCGAAUGAGUAUGUUGUCGUAGACCCGAAACCAUGUGAUCUACCCAUGUCCAGGUUGAAGGUGCGGUAAAACGCACUGGAGGACCGAACCCACGUACGUUGAAAAGUGCGGGGAUGAGGUGUGGGUAGCGGAGAAAUUCCAAACGAACUUGGAGAUAGCUGGUUCUCUCCGAAAUAGCUUUAGGGCUAGCCUCGGAAUUGAGAAUGAUGGAGGUAGAGCACUGUUUGGACUAGGGGCCCAUCUCGGGUUACCGAAUUCAGAUAAACUCCGAAUGCCAUUCAUUCAUAUCCGGGAGUCAGACUGUGAGUGAUAAGAUCCAUAGUCGAAAGGGAAACAGCCCAGACCACCAGCUAAGGUCCCCAAAUAACUAUUAAGUGGAAAAGGAUGUGGGGUUGCACAGACAACUAGGAUGUUGGCUUAGAAGCAGCCACCAUUUAAAGAGUGCGUAAUAGCUCACUAGUCGAGUGACCCUGCGCCGAAAAUGUACCGGGGCUAAAUAGUUUACCGAAGCUGUGGAGUGCACCAUUAGGUGCAUUGGUAGGAGAGCGUUCUAAGGGCGUUGAAGGCAGAUCGUGAGGACUGCUGGAGCGCUUAGAAGUGAGAAUGCCGGUAUGAGUAGCGAAAGACAGGUGAGAAUCCUGUCCACCGAAUGACUAAGGUUUCCUGGGGAAGGCUCGUCCGCCCAGGGUUAGUCGGGACCUAAGCCGAGGCCGACAGGCGUAGGCGAUGGACAACAGGUUGAUAUUCCUGUACCCGUUGUUUUUGUUUGAGCAAUGGAGGGACGCAGGAGGCUAAGAAGUGCAGACUGAUGGAUAUGUCUGUUCAAGCAGUAAGUCUUGGUAGGAGUCAAAUGCUUCUACCUAUACGGACAAGCUGUGAUGAGGAGGGAAAUAAUAGUACCGAAGCUUCUGAUGUCACACUGCCAAGAAAAGCUUCUAGUGAGAAAACAACGGCCCGUACCGCAAACCGACACAGGUAGUCGAGGAGAGAAUCCUAAGGUGAGCGAGAGAACUCUCGUUAAGGAACUCGGCAAAAUGACCCCGUAACUUCGGGAGAAGGGGUGCUGCUCUAACGAGCAGCCGCAGUGAAUAGGCCCAAGCGACUGUUUAUCAAAAACACAGGUCUCUGCAAAAUCGAAAGAUGACGUAUAGGGGCUGACGCCUGCCCGGUGCUGGAAGGUUAAGAGGAGUGCUUAGCGUAAGCGAAGGUACGAAUUGAAGCCCCAGUAAACGGCGGCCGUAACUAUAACGGUCCUAAGGUAGCGAAAUUCCUUGUCGGGUAAGUUCCGACCCGCACGAAAGGCGUAACGAUUUGGGCACUGUCUCAACGAGAGACUCGGUGAAAUUUUAGUACCUGUGAAGAUGCAGGUUACCCGCGACAGGACGGAAAGACCCCAUGGAGCUUUACUGUAGUUUGAUAUUGAGUGUCUGUACCGCAUGUACAGGAUAGGUAGGAGCCGUAGAGAUCGGGACGCCAGUUUCGAUGGAGGCAAUGGUGGGAUACUACCCUUGCGUUAUGGCCACUCUAACCCGCAGCCCUUAUCGGGCUGGGAGACAGUGUCAGAUGGGCAGUUUGACUGGGGCGGUCGCCUCCUAAAAGGUAACGGAGGCGCCCAAAGGUUCCCUCAGAAUGGUUGGAAAUCAUUCGAAGAGUGUAAAGGCAGAAGGGAGCUUGACUGCGAGAGCUACAACUCGAGCAGGGACGAAAGUCGGGCUUAGUGAUCCGGUGGUUCCGCAUGGAAGGGCCAUCGCUCAACGGAUAAAAGCUACCCUGGGGAUAACAGGCUUAUCUCCCCCAAGAG